RNAcentral lists this transfer RNA (66 nucleotides) under Dorypteryx domestica. Its description in RNAcentral is "tRNA-Tyr". The record is from RNAcentral. Lineage: Eukaryota; Metazoa; Arthropoda; Insecta; Psocodea; Psyllipsocidae.
AAAAGAAUGACUUAAAGUUAAAGUAGUAAAUUGUAAAUUUAUUUAUGGAUUUUUAUCCUUCUUUUA